GACGAACGCUGGCGGCGUGCUUUACACAUGCAAGUCGAAUGGUGAAGGUGGAGCUUGCUCCGCCGGAUCAGUGGCGAACGGGUGAGUAACACGUGGGCAACCUGCCCCUAACUUUGGGAUAACUACUCGAAAGAGUAGCUAAUACAGGAUAUGAAGUCUGUAGGCAUCUACGGACCUGGAAAGUUUUUCGGUUAGGGAUGGGCCCGCGGCCUAUCAGCUUGUUGGUGAGGUAGUGGCUCGCCAAGGCGACGACGGGUAGCCGGCCUGGGAGGGUGACCGGCCACACUGGGCCUGAGACACGGCCCAGACUCCUACGGGAGGCAGCAGUGGGGAAUAUUGCACAAUGGGCGCAAGCCUGAUGCAGCAACGCCGCGUGAGGGAUGACGGCCUUCGGGUUGUAAACCUCUUUUAGCAGGGAAGAAGCGAAAGUGACGGUACCUGCAGAAAAAGCACCGGCUAACUACGUGCCAGCAGCCGCCGUAA
RNAcentral lists this ribosomal RNA (483 nucleotides) under uncultured bacterium. Its description in RNAcentral is "partial 16S ribosomal RNA". It matches the Rfam family "Bacterial small subunit ribosomal RNA", at positions 28 to 523 of the family's 1533-position model. The record is from RNAcentral.